CAAAAUUAUGACUUAGGUACCACUCUAGGAUGAAAAAAACUUCAUGUAUCAACUGUUGAAAAUCAAGAAACUUCAAGGUAGUAAAAUGAUAUUAAUCCUAUAUAGAUCUGAGUUAGUCUAUGGGAAAGACUUUAUUUUGUUAGAGACCUCCCUCCCUCUCGAAGAAAUCAAUCAAACAACUAAAUGCAAAUGAACGAACAUGAACAGAAUCAUAUCUCUGGUGCCAGUGCAACUACUUUUCUUCAAUAAAAGAGAACAAUAUUUUAUUACAAUUACAUGGAUCUUAUUAAAUUUCUCUCUUAAGUUAUACAAGCAGCUCUGGCUUUAAGCAUUAAAAGUUUGGGAUUACAAAACGAGUAAAAACAACUUAAAUUGUUCACUGAAUGAUAAUUCUUUGUCCAACUCUCAAAACCUCAGCAAUACUGAUUCUUGAAGGCUAAUAUAUCUCAAUAUUUAGUAAAAAUACAUUUCCACUUUUUCAUUAUUCCUAAAGGCAAAGAGUAAUCCGAAGGGGGCCCAAACUCCACAUCAUAGAAAGGCAUGACCAGAGUAAAGAGAGUAGUCUAAGGUUUAGCUUAUAUACUAAUAAUCAUCGCAUUAUUAAAUUCAUUAAUCAUUACUACAUGGGUUUAAUUUCUUUAUAAUAAAAGUAAAUACAUUUUUCUUUUUUUUAGUCCAUGGAAAUUUGUAGGUAUUGGGUGAGAAAACUAUACUAUUAGGAACUGAGGCUUCUGGACUCUCUAGAUGUGUCAUGGCUCAUGAUAAUUGGUGAGUAAAUCGAAGACUUGGUCGCUCGAUUGAGGUUUUUGUUGUACAUCAUACAAAGGCAUUAAUAGACUUAACUUCUAUAAGUGUGUUUUCCUUUUGGUUAAAUUGGAAACAAUUGAAUCAUAUCAAAGAAGAUUUGAUAGUUUUUGUUUUUCCUUUCUUGGUUUCAUGUAUAUGUGUAAUUACUGUUAUACUUAUCUAUUAAUCACUUUUUAAAAACUAGUAUUAGUACCAUUGGUGAGACGGUCUUCCUUUCCGCAAUAGUGCUUACAUUAAAAAGAAAUUGUUCAUUAGUAUGUUGACAAUCAGCUUCAACACCCAGUUACUAAAUCCAACUUCCACGUGGUAGUCAAUUUCCCAAAUAAUCUUCUUCUGUUUGCUUGUUUUAUUUUCUUUUUCUUUCUAGUGUUCUUUACCUUUCACGACUUGUUUGAACACAUCUUCUGCUUCGCUAUUGCUUCUAGGGUGUAU
RNAcentral lists this long non-coding RNA (1239 nucleotides) under Malus domestica (apple). Its description in RNAcentral is "long non-coding RNA (MDOM_LNC014915)". Lineage: Eukaryota; Viridiplantae; Streptophyta; Magnoliopsida; Rosales; Rosaceae. The record is from RNAcentral.